RNAcentral lists this ribosomal RNA (885 nucleotides) under uncultured bacterium. Its description in RNAcentral is "bacterial SSU rRNA". It matches the Rfam family "Bacterial small subunit ribosomal RNA", at positions 46 to 933 of the family's 1533-position model. The record is from RNAcentral.
GCCUAAUACAUGCAAGUCGAACGGGAUUGAGAGCUUGCUUUCAUGAGAGUGGCGUACGGGUGCGUAACGCGUAUGCAACCUACCUUCAUCAGGGGGAUAGCCCGAAGAAAUUCGGAUUAACACCGCAUAAAAACACAGCUUGGCAUCAAGCAAUGUUCAAAUAUUUAUAGGAUGAAGAUGGGCAUGCGUGUCAUUAGCUAGUUGGUAAGGUAACGGCUUACCAAGGCUACGAUGACUAGGGGAUCUGAGAGGAUGACCCCCCACACUGGUACUGAGACACGGACCAGACUCCUACGGGAGGCAGCAGUAAGGAAUAUUGGUCAAUGGAGGCAACUCUGAACCAGCCAUGCCGCGUGCAGGAAGACUGCCUUAUGGGUUGUAAACUGCUUUUAUACGGGAAUAAACCUUAAUUCGUGAAUUAAGCUGAAUGUACCGUAAGAAUAAGGAUCGGCUAACUCCGUGCCAGCAGCCGCGGUAAUACGGAGGAUCCAAGCGUUAUCCGGAUUUAUUGGGUUUAAAGGGAGCGUAGGCGGCUUGUUAAGUCAGGGGUGAAAGACGGUGGCUCAACCAUCGCAGUGCCUUUGAUACUGACGAGCUUGAAUAUAGUUGAGGUAGGCGGAAUGUGACAAGUAGCGGUGAAAUGCAUAGAUAUGUCACAGAACACCGAUUGCGAAGGCAGCUUACUAAGCUAUUAUUGACGCUGAGGCUCGAAAGCGUGGGGAUCAAACAGGAUUAGAUACCCUGGUAGUCCACGCCCUAAACGAUGAUAACUCGAUGUUGGCGAUAUACAGUCAGCGUCCAAGCGAAAGCGUUAAGUUAUCCACCUGGGGAGUACGCCCGCAAGGGUGAAACUCAAAGGAAUUGACGGGGGCCCGCACAAGCGGA